AGUGAGAGUAUUCUUUUCCAGGAGCUGGAGCCUUCAGGAAAAGCAAGGACAGAAACAGAAGCCAUCGAGAGCUACAAAGCUGGACCUUGAGCCCCAAGGCAUCCUGGUUUGGUUUAAGACCUCCUGGAGCAGGUUUAACAUCGACCAUGGCCAACAUUUACAUGAGAGUGUCCACCUUGAGUGACUGCUUUCCCCAGAUCCACGCUGUCACUCAUAC
Molecule: long non-coding RNA, 217 nt
Organism: Choloepus didactylus (southern two-toed sloth)
Lineage: Eukaryota; Metazoa; Chordata; Mammalia; Pilosa; Megalonychidae
Exons: 3
Source: RefSeq, a predicted model, not a curated record